Musa acuminata AAA Group (dessert banana) is the source of this 2470-nucleotide long non-coding RNA. RefSeq lists it as uncharacterized. Lineage: Eukaryota; Viridiplantae; Streptophyta; Magnoliopsida; Zingiberales; Musaceae. The record is from RefSeq and is a predicted model, not a curated record. The transcript is spliced from 5 exons.
AUAUUACCUGCAGUGUAUUGGAGAGAACAGGGAUCGCAGCUGAAAGCUAGGAUAAACACAGAAUUGUCUUCUUGUCAAGCAGCAAUAGCAGUGCAGAUAAAGAGCCUCGUUUCUCUUGAUUUGGAUGGGAAAUCUUCCAAAGAUGUAUUGCGUCGAACACUUGCCUUACUCCUGGAUGCUGCUGAAGCUUGUAUACUCUCUUUAUGGUGGAAAUUGAAAAUAUGUGAGGAGCUGUUCAGGACAUUACUCGGUGGAAUCAGCCAAAUAGCACUGUCUUGCGGAGGCCAGCUCUUGAGAGUGUUGCACAUUCCUCUGAAGCCCCUUGUCCUGACCGCUUGUGCUCGGAUGGAAAAAAAAAAACAGGCUGUUCCUGUUGUGCAGCUCAAUCGUAUGUCUUCUUGCUGACUUGAGCUCAUCCAUUAAAAAGUGGGAAGUUAUAGACAUGAUAUUUCCCCUCUUCAUUGAGAGUCUUGAAGAAGGUGAUAGCUUCUGCUCCAUGUUUAUUGCGUCUCCGAGUAUGAACCCUUGUCUCUUAAGAAUGUAUAUGCUAGUGAAUAAUGCUGUUUGUCUUUUUUGCGCUUUGCUUAGUAUUUGAUAUAUCAUUUCAAUUGCUUCUGUGGUAACUAUUGUCAUCCAUAUUGUGGCAAUCAAGUUCAACUGUUUUCAUAAAUGUUUCAGCUACUUGAUGCGGUAUCUCGCAUGGUUUGUUUGGGUUUUGAUUAGUCUUAUCGUGAGACAAUAGUUCUAGUGACCAGAAACUAUUUAGAUGAACUCAAGAAUGUCGGAUUGGAAGAAGGCAAAACACUGCCCCCAAGAAACUACUACAGAGCGUGUAGAAGUAUGUGUUUAGGUGUUUCUUUGUAGUUUGGACUACAGAUUAUGUGCUAUUUUGCAGGCUUGUAACUUCUCAUAGUUUUGCUAACUUCUUCAGUUUAUAUUUUAGAGACUCCCUGCAGGGUUUCUUCUGGUUGCCUCUCGUCUUAGUAGCUCAAAACUGAGGUCUGAUUACCGCCAAUAGGCUAUGGUCUUCAUGCUCUUAUGUGGCAGUGGCUUGCCGAAUCAAAAAGUGGAAGGUAGAGUGCUGAUGGGUGUCAGGCUUUUAUGUCAACCUUAUUGCACUGCACGCCUAUCCGCAUACCAUGUCUUGUUAGGGCCUUGACGCCUGAGCAGCCACCUGAUUGUGUUUGGUAUUGCUGAUUAAUAUGGAUGAUGCAGAGAAUAUUGAGCGAGCACCGGGUGCUGGCGUGGCGUGCCGUGCCGUCUUAGAUCAUAGCAGCCUUGGGAAUGUUUGGACUUUGGAGUUUUGGUUACUUAAAAAGGAUCAUCUGGAGUUCUUUUCCGUUUUGACUCUUUUCUUCCUUUUUCUCAGUAUAAUGCUUUCGGAUUUGCAGGAGUGGUGCUGAUUUCUUGGGGCCAUUAUUGCCUGCAGUUGUCGAAAUUUGCUUUGAGUUUGAUCCUGCAGCCAAUGUUGAGCCUUCUCUACUAAAGCUGUUUCGAAAUCUAUGCUUCUAUAUUGUCUUGUUCGGCUUAGCACCACCAAUUCAACAAAAUCAGAUACCGACAAAACCAGGGUCCACGUCAUUGAACACUCUGGAAGCAUUGACACGACAGCUCUUCAAGCUGUAGCUUGGCCAUACUUGUGGAAUGGGGAAUGGUCUGUGGCUGUUCAACACAUUGCAAAAGGAACACCACCAUCGAUUCAACCUAGCCUUUAACACGAUGCUCAGUUUACCGCGGUGGUCUGCAUUUCGCACCAGCUACGUUUUAGAUAGAUUCAACCUAGACGGUGUUCUCUCGAAGAGGCCCACGCUUAUUGUGUUGAACGUCCAUCCCUUUCCAAGACAAACUGAUUUGAUGCUUGAGAGCUGCCUUUUCUAAUGUACCUGGGAUGAUCUCUACCUUUGAUGUGUUAGAGCGACAUGUCUUCUUGGAGUUGCUUUUUUGGAGAUACUACGGUUUAGUUGUAAUGGUGGUGUACUCUGUGUUGACUCCUCUUUAACUACAUUAAGAAGUGCAUUCAGUUAUGUGUUCGAGUAUCUACUUACUCCAAACUUGGUGUCACCAGUGUUUCAAUGCUUAACUGCCUGCAAUUGUAUAUAGAUCUUUGGAAGCGGCAGUGUCACGGCUGGUAAGCUUUUGCACCUUUUUAUUAUACACACUUUUCUUUUCUUUCAAAUUUUGCUCAAAAUAUUUUUUUCUUCAUAUUUAUUUUAUUCUAAUUUUUUUGUCAACCAUGGAUGUAGAUAUUAACAAAGGAGAUCUUAGAUUCUCAUACUUAAGUACAACGUUUGAGGAACUCUCUUGUCCAUCUCUGUGAAUCAUAUCAGAUGUAUAAGCAAUGAACACCACCAAUUCUGUAGUAUAGUUUUAAUUAUCAAAUGGAAUGACUUCACAUGCAAAUAUUUUUGGGAACCGAGGCUGAGGCUUCCCAUCACACAUGCUGAAACUCUUGCCUUGCAGUUUCAUGUUA